RNAcentral lists this transfer RNA (77 nucleotides) under Myxococcales bacterium 13_1_40CM_2_68_15. Its description in RNAcentral is "tRNA-Gly". Lineage: Bacteria; Pseudomonadati; Myxococcota; Myxococcia; Myxococcales. The record is from RNAcentral.
GCGGGAACGGUUGUGGACGCGGUCUGUUCGCCUUGCCAAGGCGAAGGUCGCCGGUUCGAACCCGGUGUUCCGCUCCA